Molecule: long non-coding RNA, 377 nt
Organism: Saccostrea cuccullata (small rock oyster)
Lineage: Eukaryota; Metazoa; Mollusca; Bivalvia; Ostreida; Ostreidae
Exons: 2
Source: RefSeq, a predicted model, not a curated record
UUCCUAUUCUGGACCCCUUCGAACACCCUCUUUGGUACCUCUACACUACCCGUAUUUAUUCACCUGAGUUUAGGCUUCCGCCCUUCUUAAAAACCGGCUUUCGAGAUAUAACAGCACGAGUUCUGACUGACCAAUUUUUACUGCCAAAGUUUUGUAAAGUUAAAGUUAAAGUACUGAGUAUAUUUUAAAGAGUUAUUACAGACACUGACUUCUGAGGUCCCGUCCUACGUUUUACGUUCUACGUCGUUUUGUGUAUGGUGUCAGUGUAUGAUGCACAGUGUACGGAGUAUGGUGUGAUGUAGUAACUUACCGUUGUGUGGACAGACAAGAGCCGGAAUACUAUGUACAAUGAAUUGUCUAUAUAAAUGUGAAAACGU